CAGAAUUGUGUGCACUCUGUAACAUCUUUGUGGUAGUCCUGUUUUCCUAAUAACUUUGUUACUGUGCUGUGAAAGAUUACAGAUUUGAACAUGUAGUGUACGUGCUGUUGAGUUGUGAACUGGUGGGCCGUAUGUAACAGCUGACCAACGUGAAGAUACUGGUACUUGAUAGCCUCUUAAGGAAAAUUUGCUUCCAAAUUUUAAGCUGGAAAGUCACUGGAAUAACUUUAAAAAAGAAUUACAAUACAUGGCUUUUUAGAAUUUCGUUACGUAUGUUAAGAUUUGUGUACAAAUUGAAAUGUCUGUACUGAUCCUCAACCAAUAAAAUCUCAGUUAUGAAA
Molecule: long non-coding RNA, 341 nt
Filed under: Homo sapiens (human)
Lineage: Eukaryota; Metazoa; Chordata; Mammalia; Primates; Hominidae
Description: non-protein coding lnc-HMGN1-1:14
Source: RNAcentral